CAAUAGCGUAUAUUAAAGUUGUUGCAGUUAAAAAGCUCGUAGUUGGAUUUGUGGCGUACGGUGUGUUCCGGGCACUUGUUGUCUGAGUAACCUGCUGUUGCCAUCCUUGGGUGGAACCUGUGUGGCAUUGGGUUGUCGUGCAGGGGAUGCCCAUCAUUUACUGUGAAAAAAUUAGAGUGUUCAAAGCAGGCUUAUGCCGUUGAAUAUAUUAGCAUGGAAUAAUGAGAUAGGACUUUUUUGCUAUUUUGUUGGUUUGCGCAAAGAGGUAAUGAUUAAUAGGGACAGUUGGGGGUAUUCGUAUUCCAUAGUCAGAGGUGAAAUUCUUGGAUUUUUGGAAGACGAACUACUGCGAAAGCAUUUACCAAGGAUGUUUUCAUUAA
RNAcentral lists this ribosomal RNA (380 nucleotides) under uncultured eukaryote. Its description in RNAcentral is "partial 18S ribosomal RNA". It matches the Rfam family "Eukaryotic small subunit ribosomal RNA", at positions 592 to 976 of the family's 1831-position model. The record is from RNAcentral.